Long non-coding RNA from Manis pentadactyla (Chinese pangolin), 1225 nucleotides. RefSeq lists it as uncharacterized. The record is from RefSeq and is a predicted model, not a curated record. The transcript is spliced from 4 exons. Lineage: Eukaryota; Metazoa; Chordata; Mammalia; Pholidota; Manidae.
CGAUGAGCACUGUUCUUUGGUUAAAACAUGAACCAUGAAUGAAAUGUGCUUGUGGCGGGGUCUCCGUGCUUCAUUUCCUGCUCCGGCUGUCCCAUUCCCAGGUCGCUCUCUGCGGACGCGGGGCCAAUCGUGGAAAACAGACCCAGGGCUCCUGACCUGCAGUCUCAGUGUGGAUCGGUCAUAUUCGAACACCCGGAUGCCUGGAUUGUUGGCCCCGUUGACCACUCCAGGAGAGAGACAGUGAGACAGAGAGGCUGGCGAGAAGGGGGAGGUGGACUGGCAGCUGCCCUCCAGAGUGAGUACCUGCAUCAUCAUAGAACAUCCGAAAGCUGUCAGUGUGGUGGUGCCCGAAGAACUGCCCUGCAAUGACCCGGUAGUGCCUCUGGACCACCUUCAGACCUCAGAAGGAGAAGCAGUCCCUGACCCCAUUCCCAGCAGAAAGUUUCGUCACCAGAAAGGAAGCACCAGAUGAGGGGGAGGAGGAAGCUAGAAGAUCUAAAUAAUCUUCAGAUCCAUCAUCAGCCAUCAACUCCAGAUCCAUCUGACUGUUUCCUGAUCCACCUGCUGUUCCCGAGCAAGGGAAGGAGUUUCCUUCACCCUGGGAGGCCUCAGAAGUUUAUUCAUUUGGGAUUCAAAUAUUUACGGAGCACCUUGUUGGUGCCAACGUGUAGACCUGGGAGCUGGGUACCCAACCCCAGCCCAGGGGCCUUGCAGUGUAGUAGGGCAACAGGCAUUGAGUAAUGCAACAUGCGAAGGCCAACACAAAAAGGGAAGAGCCUAUGUGCAACACAGAAAAGACCAGUAGUGACUGUACAGUAUCCUACUACGCUGAUGGACAGUGACUGUAAUGGGGUUUGUGGGGGGGACUUGGUGAAAGGGGGAGCCUAGUAAACAUAAUGUUCCUCAUGUAAUUGUAGAUCAAUGAUACCAAAAUAAAAAAAAUUUUAAAAAAAAGGGAAGAGCCUAGUUAUGGGCAUGGAUAGCAGGGUGUGGUUGUGGCGGUCGGGGGCCAGGGGAGGCCUCCCUGUGGAAGUGAACUGCAAAUGAGCCCAGGAGGAGGAGGGGAGCCCCUCAGACUCAUUUCCUUCCUGUGAGCAGCCUCAUUCUUGAUUUUGUUUUUACAUCUGUGUCUGGCAUGUAAUAGUUGCUCAAUAAAUAUCUGACUAUUAACAAAAACUCCUCUGAGCUCCAGGCAGGGCCUCGCCCUUAUAUGAAUACUUGGCUU